This 250-nucleotide ribosomal RNA is filed under the name uncultured bacterium. Its description in RNAcentral is "partial 16S ribosomal RNA". It matches the Rfam family "Bacterial small subunit ribosomal RNA", at positions 355 to 602 of the family's 1533-position model. The record is from RNAcentral.
UAAGGAAUAUUGGACAAUGGAGGCAACUCUGAUCCAGCCAUGCCGCGUGAAGGAUGAAGGCCCUAUGGGUCGUAAACUUCUUUUGUACGAGAGAAAACCAUUUCACGUGUGAGAUGUUGAUAGUAUCGUAAGAAUAAGGAUCGGCUAACUUCGUGCCAGCAGCCGCGGUAAGACGAAGGAUCCAAGCGUUAUCCGGAUUCAUUGGGUUUAAAGGGUGCGUAGGCGGAUUUGUAAGUCAGUGGUGAAAGCC